UACGUAGGGGGCUAGCGUUGUCCGGAAUCAUUGGGCGUAAAGCGCGUGUAGGCGGUCCGGUAAGUCCGCUGUGAAAGCCGGGGGCUCAAACCUCGGAUGCCGGUGGAUACUGUCGGGCUUGAGUACGGAAGAGGCGAGUGGAAUUCCUGGUGUAGCGGUGAAAUGCGCAGAUAUCAGGAGGAACACCAAUUGCGAAGGCAGCUCGCUGGGACGUUACUGACGCUGAGACGCGAAAGCGUGGGGAGCAAACAGG
RNAcentral lists this ribosomal RNA (253 nucleotides) under uncultured bacterium. RNAcentral's name for it is "partial 16S ribosomal RNA". It matches the Rfam family "Bacterial small subunit ribosomal RNA", at positions 524 to 776 of the family's 1533-position model. The record is from RNAcentral.